AUUGAACGCUGGCGGCAUGCCUUACACAUGCAAGUCGAACGGCAGCACGGGGGCAACCCUGGUGGCGAGUGGCGAACGGGUGAGUAACAUAUCGGAACAUACCCUAGAGUGGGGGAUAACGUAGCGAAAGUUACGUUAAUACCGCAUACGAUCUAAGGAUGAAAGUGGGGGAUCUUCGGACCUCAUGCUCAUGGAGUGGCCGAUAUCUGAUUAGCUAGUUGGUGAGGUAAAGGCUCACCAAGGCGACGAUCAGUAGCUGGUUUGAGAGAACGACCAGCCACACUGGAACUGAGACACGGUCCAGACUCCUACGGGAGGCAGCAGUGGGGAAUUUUGGACAAUGGGGGGCAACCCUGAUCCAGCAAUGCCGCGUGAGUGAAGAAGGCCUUCGGUUGUAAGACUCUUUUGUUCAGGGAAGAAACGGUAGAGUCUAAUACAGCUUGCUAAUAGACGGUACCUAGAAGGAAUAAGACACCGGCGUAACU
Molecule: ribosomal RNA, 485 nt
Filed under: uncultured bacterium
Lineage: Bacteria
Description: bacterial SSU rRNA
Rfam family: Bacterial small subunit ribosomal RNA
Source: RNAcentral